GGGGAUGUAGUAUAGUCUGGUUAGUAUGCGAGGUUUGGGACUUCGUGACCCAGGUUCAAAUCCUGGCAUCCCCA
RNAcentral lists this transfer RNA (74 nucleotides) under Nanobdellota archaeon. Its description in RNAcentral is "tRNA-Pro". It matches the Rfam family "tRNA". Rfam says of the family: Transfer RNA (tRNA) molecules are approximately 80 nucleotides in length. Their secondary structure includes four short double-helical elements and three loops (D, anti-codon, and T loops). The record is from RNAcentral. Lineage: Archaea; Nanobdellati; Nanobdellota.